UAUUUAUUAGAUUAUAUUUUUUGCUUGUUAUUUUAAUUAUUUAAUAGAAAUAAUUUUUUUGUUUAUGUGUCUUAGUAUAUUUUGUUGAAUUGAUUUUUUUUAUUAUAGUUUAUUAGUAAUGUAAUUGGAUUUUGAAAUAAUUAUUUAAGUUUAAUAAAGUAAAUUUUGUUUGUUGUACCUUUUGUAUCAGGGUUUAUCAAAAUUUUUGUAUUUAUAUACUUGUCUCGAUUUAGGUUGAUUUAAAAACAACUUAUAGUUAAUGUAUCAUAAUUAUUGUUGAGUUGUUUUUAGAAAUGAAAUGUUAAUCGUUUCCUAAGAUAUCUAGUUUCUCAAGAAAAAAUUUAAUUUUUUAAAGUUUAUUGUUUUUAUUUAAUUUUUUAAUUAAAAAUAUUUACUUAUUUAUUCUUUAGGGGAUAAGCUCUAAAGUUUAAUAAUCUAUAAUUUUUUUAUUUUAUGGAAAAUAGUAGGCUUUAGACCAGCUAUCUAUUGGAUUACGUUUUAGUUCAUUAUUUUUUAUUUUGAUUUUAUAAUUAUUUUAGGUUUUGUAUUGGGAUUUUUAAUUAAAUUUUAUAAUUUUUGUAAUAAUGAUUGAAUUAGUAUAUUAAUUUGUUUAUAAUAUUUUCUUUUUAAAAUUUAUUAUAAGGAACUAGGCAAAAUUGAUUUCCGCCUGUUUAUCAAAAACAUGUCCUCUUGAUAAUAUUAUGAGGUCUGGCCUGCUCACUGACGAGUAUUUUAAAGAGCCGCGGUAAUUUGACCGUGCAAAGGUAGCAUAAUCAUUAGUCUCUUAAUUAGGGGCUGGAAUGAAUGGCUUGACGAGAAAUCUACUGUCUCUUAAUAAAAUUUUGAAUUUAACUUUUAAGUCAAAAGGCUUAAAUUUUUCUUUAGGACGAGAAGACCCUAUAGAGCUUGACAUUUUAUUUUUAUAUAAUUUUUAGUUAGUCUUUUUAUAUUUAAUGAUAAUGUUUUGUUGGGGUGACAUGAAGAAUAAUUAAACUCUUCGUUAUUAAAUCAUUGAUUUAUGUGUAUAGAAUGAUCCAUAAUUUAUGAUCAUAAGAUUAAGUUACCUUAGGGAUAACAGCGUAAUUAUUUUCGAGAGCUCAUAUCAACAAAUUAGAUUGCGACCUCGAUGUUGGAUUAAGAAAAAUUUUGGGUGCAGUAGCCCAGUGAUUAGGUCUGUUCGACCUUUAAAUUCUUACGUGAUCUGAGUUCAGACCGGCGUGAGCCAGGUCGGUUUCUAUCCUAAGUAUAUUUAACCACAUUAGUACGAAAGGACCAUGUGGUUAGAAUAUUUUUUAUGUUAUUGAUUAAUAUUAAUAAAUU
This 1320-nucleotide ribosomal RNA is filed under the name Stenocatantops mistshenkoi. RNAcentral describes it as "16S ribosomal RNA". The stretch from base 856 to 1248 matches the Rfam family "Bacterial large subunit ribosomal RNA", at positions 2049 to 2651 of the family's 2925-position model. Lineage: Eukaryota; Metazoa; Arthropoda; Insecta; Orthoptera; Acrididae. The record is from RNAcentral.